RNAcentral lists this ribosomal RNA (690 nucleotides) under uncultured Bacteroidales bacterium. Its description in RNAcentral is "bacterial SSU rRNA". It matches the Rfam family "Bacterial small subunit ribosomal RNA", at positions 32 to 715 of the family's 1533-position model. The record is from RNAcentral. Lineage: Bacteria; Pseudomonadati; Bacteroidota; Bacteroidia; Bacteroidales.
AACGCUAGCUACAGGCUUAACACAUGCAAGUCGAGGGGCAGCACAAGGUAGCAAUACUGAGGUGGCGACCGGCGCACGGGUGCGUAACGCGUAUCCAACUUUCCCGUUACUCUGGGAUAGCCUUCCGAAAGGGAGAUUAAUACCGGAUGGUGUUGAAAUUUCGCAUGUCAUUUCAACUAAAGAUUUAUCGGUAACGGAUAGGGAUGCGUGACAUUAGGUAGAUGGCGGGGUAACGGCCCACCAUGCCUACGAUGUCUAGGGGUUCUGAGAGGAAGGUCCCCCACACUGGAACUGAGACACGGUCCAGACUCCUACGGGAGGCAGCAGUGAGGAAUAUUGGUCAAUGGCCGGAAGGCCGAACCAGCCAAGUAGCGUGAAGGAUGAAGGUUCUAUGGAUUGUAAACUUCUUUUAUAUAGGAAUAAAACCUCCUACGUGUAGGAGCUUGUAUGUACUAUAUGAAUAAGCAUCGGCUAACUCCGUGCCAGCAGCCGCGGUAAUACGGAGGAUGCGAGCGUUAUCCGGAUUUAUUGGGUUUAAAGGGAGCGUAGACGGGAGAUUAAGUCAGUUGUGAAAGGCUGCGGCUCAACCGCAGCACUGCAGUUGAUACUGGUUUCCUUGAGUGCGGUUGAGGUGUGUGGAAUUCGUGGUGUAGCGGUGAAAUGCUUAGAUAUCACGAAGAACUCCGAUUG